Molecule: long non-coding RNA, 207 nt
Organism: Arabidopsis thaliana (thale cress)
Lineage: Eukaryota; Viridiplantae; Streptophyta; Magnoliopsida; Brassicales; Brassicaceae
Product: other RNA
Exons: 1
Source: RefSeq
UGGGGUGUGUUUAGACUUUAGUGCAAGAACUACGUACACAUCGGUGGCUUAUGUUUAAUUAGGAGUUCAAAGCUAUUCUCCAUGAUAUCGCUUAUUUAAGUGAAUCUUUUUCUUCUUCAAUUUUGUCCCUAGAUUGGACGAUGUUGUUGCCGAUUCCAUGGCCAAAGUCGGCACUUGUUGCAGCAAACUCUUCUUCCUUCAAUUGAG